AGAGUUUGAUCCUGGCUCAGGAUGAACGCUGGCGGCGUGCCUAAUACAUGCAAGUCGAACGAGUUCUCGUUGAUGAUCGGUGCUUGCACCGAGAUUCAACAUAGAACGAGUGGCGGACGGGUGAGUAACACGUGGGUAACCUGCCCUUAAGUGGGGGAUAACAUUUGGAAACAGAUGCUAAUACCGCAUAGAUCCAAGAACCGCAUGGUUCUUGGCUGAAAGAUGGCGUAAGCUAUCGCUUUUGGAUGGACCCGCGGCGUAUUAGCUAGUUGGUGAGGUAAUGGCUCACCAAGGCGAUGAUACGUAGCCGAACUGAGAGGUUGAUCGGCCACAUUGGGACUGAGACACGGCCCAAACUCCUACGGGAGGCAGCAGUAGGGAAUCUUCCACAAUGGACGCAAGUCUGAUGGAGCAACGCCGCGUGAGUGAAGAAGGCUUUCGGGUCGUAAAACUCUGUUGUUGGAGAAGAAUGGUCGGCAGAGUAACUGUUGUCGGCGUGACGGUAUCCAACCAGAAAGCCACGGCUAACUACGUGCCAGCAGCCGCGGUAAUACGUAGGGGGCAAGCGUUAUCCGGAUUUACUGGGUGUAAAGGGAGCGUAGGUGGUAUGG
RNAcentral lists this ribosomal RNA (611 nucleotides) under uncultured bacterium. RNAcentral's name for it is "bacterial SSU rRNA". It matches the Rfam family "Bacterial small subunit ribosomal RNA", at positions 8 to 583 of the family's 1533-position model. The record is from RNAcentral.